Long non-coding RNA from Brienomyrus brachyistius, 1440 nucleotides. RefSeq lists it as uncharacterized. NCBI's taxonomy places the organism in Eukaryota, Metazoa, Chordata, Actinopteri, Osteoglossiformes, Mormyridae. The record is from RefSeq and is a predicted model, not a curated record. The transcript is spliced from 3 exons.
ACCAGGGCAUAACAAUGUGGAACAACUAAAAUAACCAAUCAGCACAGGACAACAAGAAGCAGACGGCGUAACAAGGACCGAAAGCCUGGGGGCUGAAGCUAAUUCAGUGGUAAAGACAUGAGCUCGUCUCUUGGAGGUCGACGUGAGGAGGUCUGCACUGGAAAAGACCACACUGACAGGUGUCCACAGUGUAACAGGCAGGCAGGUACACAGACAGACUGACUGGCAAGCAGAUAGAUAGACAGACAGAUGAAGAGGCAGGCAGGCAAGCAGGUAGAGAAAUAGAGAGACAGGAAGGCAGAUAGACAGGCAGGCAGACAGACAGGCAGGUAGAUAGACAUGUCUAGGAGGGCAGAAUGAGGCUGUGCGACCCUGAUAAAUACUCCUGCUUCCUGUGAGGUUUUAUGUAUUUCCUCUCCAGGACCAAACAGCUGUCUCCCUUCCUCCAUCUCUGAGCUACAGGAUGGUAUGUGUCACCUAACCUCUGCACACUGCACGCAGUGAUUUGCAGUGAUUUGCAUAUGCCAUAGGAUGCUUGGCCCUUUGCCUCCUUCCUGAUCCAAACUUCUAGGGUCUCCAUGGGUAACCAGCAUCCUGAUGCCAUGAAGAGGGUGUUGAGGAAGAGGAGAAGCUUCAUGGUGUAGUAAUACCAGCCACAUUUAAAUCAACAUGUAGGAAAAAAAAUCACCUGAGCUGCAAAACACAUAGCAAUCCAGUGGGGGCGCUGUUUGGCUCAUUGAGUUUGGAUGCUAUGUCUAUGAUGGGAAGGUCACCUGUUCAAUGUCACUACUGGGCCCCUCCGUAAGGCCCUUAACCCACCGUUACUCCAGGCACUGUUUGGCCCUGCUUUCUCAAAAAUGUCGCUUUUUAUGAAAUUGUCUGUUAAAUCUAACAUUCAUUUAAUUGAUAGAAAUGUGCAUCACUGGUGAAAGGUAAGCAAGUACUUAACAGUGAUAAAUUCAGUGUCUUACUUUUAACAGGGUUCUAAAUACAUAUAUAAAGCAAGCUGUGAUUGGAAAGCAGUUCAUACCCAAAAUGGUACAAUGGCCAAAAAAAUCCAUCCGUCUGUGUCUGCACUCGUUCUGCCGUCUUAUUCGAAACCAAAGCGGGUCGUACCUCCCACUUCACCUGGUGUCAGUCAGAAUGGCACAGGUGUAAUAUUCACUGUCGAGGUGUCACUUUUCAUUCAUGUUGUAAUUAUGGAGACCCCAGCUGCCUUACUGUGAGGUCAAAGCGAAACGUGGCUUUCAUGGGUUUUUCAAAUGUUGCCACACGAAUGCAGCAGUGCUAUUACCUGUCAAAGUUUACAGGUUUUCAGUGACUGACAUUUCAGUCACAUUUAACUGAUUUUACUGGGUCACAUGAUCGGGGGCGGGGCCUCAGGAUUGCAUUUCUCUCCACAGUGGGAUUUCAGUCACUACAGUCAUUGAUAAAACAAAC